Transfer RNA from Verticillium albo-atrum, 101 nucleotides. It matches the Rfam family "tRNA". From Rfam's summary of the family: Transfer RNA (tRNA) molecules are approximately 80 nucleotides in length. Their secondary structure includes four short double-helical elements and three loops (D, anti-codon, and T loops). NCBI's taxonomy places the organism in Eukaryota, Fungi, Ascomycota, Sordariomycetes, Glomerellales, Plectosphaerellaceae. The record is from Rfam.
GCCCUUAUAGCACAGUGGUAGUGCGUUGCACUUGUAGGUUGAAGGUCCAGCACCCGAGUCCAGAGAUGCAAAGGUCACUGGUUCAAUCCCAGUUGGGGGCA